GACCUAGUGGAGGUGGGACGUGGAUCAGAAUCGCGCGUCCCCGUCUGAUCCGUAGCCCUGGAAGUUUGCUUUUCCGUCCGGUGGGAACAGGCAGAAAAAUUAAAAUUGAAUGCAGGAUCCAGAGUGUUCUCUGCCUAGAGCGGUGCUCGUUUAGAAACAAGGGUCUCCGACGGAGAGAGAAGGAGCGGCGGCGGUGAUCCGGCAUGGAGUUUCCGAUGCAGCCAAUGGGCAGAUCCAGUGUCCUUGAGGAAGUAGGAGAGAGCUCGGUGCCGGCCCCUGUGCCAAUGGCGCCGACGGGAGCCGGUAUGCUGACUCUCCUUCAGGUCGUAGGAGAUUGCAUCCUCCAAGAUUCCAUACGGCUCCAUUCUCUUUCUCAGCGUGCUCAUGCCCAACCAGAUUCCCCCUGCUGGAGGUGGGAGAGAGUCAACGGAUCCGCCGCCGAAGGCCGCGACGAGCAAAGUCUUCGCAGCGGAGGAGGGACGGUCAAAUCCCAAUUGAUUUGUCAGCCUGCCAUGAGCACAGACGGUCAAAUAUGUGCAGAAGAUUUACGUCCUGAGCAGAGACGUGAGAGCUUGCCACAAGCAUCAAUGGUCAAAAAGGUUUGUUCGUCGAUUGAAUGAGUUAGUGCUUUCUUGUUUUUUUUGUACUAUCUGAAUUUCAUGACUCUUUAUCUGCUGCCCUGAAUAAUUGGUUAUUGGCACCACUAGGCUUGAAUGCAAACUCGUGACUGUGAUUUUGUUCUCUGUGGUUAGACACACAGACUUCUUAAUUUUAAAAAACAGAUUCGUUUGGGCUGGUUUUUGCAAUAGAUGUACUAUCUGAAUUUCAUGGCUCUCUGACUGCUUACCCGAAUAAUUUAACACUGGGGCCAGUAGACAUGAUCACAUGAGUGCAGCCUCAUGGCUUUGAUUUUGUUCUUUGUGGUUAGACAUACAGGGUUAGUUCGGACUUAAUUAAAAAAAUGGACUCGAUUGGGCUGGUUGUUUCAAAUGUACUCAGUUCUUGCAUGUUCUGAGUAGUACAGGCUUGUGGUGUCAGCCACAAAGUUGCAUCCAGUGGAAAUAUGAUGUGCUGACUAUAUACGUAAUCAUUAGAUUCAUGAGAUUUUUAUAGUUUUCCAGAAAUAUAAGUAUAAGAAUCUUACAUGUGGAAGUAGAUGGUUUUUUGAAACAUGUUAGUACAACUGUAAAAUGUGGUUGUCGAGUCCUGCACUGAAAUACACAGCAUUCUCGAGGAGUUUGCAUUACAGUAGUAGAAAUGUGCAGUGUCAUUGACAGGAGGUUAGAAUUUUUUUUUGAAGGAAAUGAGGAUGUUAUUGAUCAUAGUAAUUUCAUCAGGGUGAGGAUCGGUGUGGAUAAAUAAUCCCUUUACGAGGGAUGUCAAUAAGUUUCCAGAGUUGUGUUCUGGAUUUGGUAACCAGUAGAUAUAAAAAUCUAGCAAUAUUUGAUGUUUUGUGGAUUUGUGGAAGGGUAAAGCUGGAGUGGAGAACACGAGAUCUUGAAGGUACAAGUGCCCUGCGCUUAUAAGACUUCUUAGCACAACCGGUGGUACAUUGCUGAGCAUAGAGAACAGAACAACGGCUCGCUGUCCCAUAAUUUUUGUGAGACAAUAAACUGGCCAUCACACAACUAUAUUGAUGUGCAUGGCCAAUACUUGAUAAAAUAGCCAAGGCAGAACAACAUGAACCUUGCAAUUGUGUACCGUAUUAUUGGGAGCUUUUUUGGAUUGGUGGAGAAUGUGCCAUUCACUAAGUGGUCGCUUAAGAGCCUAUGCGGAAAGAUAAUAAGCAGAGAACAAGCUGCUGACGAUGUACGGAAAAUCAUGGAGGUGUUUGCACGAUUAUGAUCUAAGGAUCCACGUUCCAUAUAUCGUGUCCAAGCGGGUAGAAUAAAAAAACAAAAAACUUAAUGUGGGCAAACAGGAGCAGCAGGCAUCAGUAGUCAUUUUUUGGAGAUGUAGUGACAUUUGGCACCACCUAUCGUACUAAUCUGUAUUACAUGCCAUUUGCGCUUUCCGUAGGAGUGAACAAUCAUUUCUAGAGCAUGAUCUUUUCUGGUGUAUUGAUGCGUGAUUAGACACAGGCAAGCUUCAAGUGGGUAUUCAUAUAAUUUUUGCGGAUGAUGGGAGGCGUGGCAUCAAGGACUGUUUUGACAGAUCAUAAUCGGGCAAUGGAGCUUCCAUUAAGAGUAUCAUGCUAGACACAGCGUGUCAGUGGUGUUAGUGGCAAGUGGCAUGUCCUAAAUAAAGCUAAAGAAUAAUUGGGGCCACUGUACACUAAAAAGAGUGAAUUUAGAGCAGAAUUCCACAACGUUGUGAAUCACGUGUUGACCGUGGAUGAAAUCGAGGAAGGGUGGCAUCUGGUGCUCGAGAAAUGCAGACUGUGGACACAUCCGUACAUCUCUCGGCUCUUUGAGAGUGGACACAAGUGGGCAAAGUCAUAUUUCAAAGGUAUGUUAUGUGCUAAGAUGGCAAGUACUCAGAGUAGCGAGAGCACAAAUCACAUGCUCAAGAAUUAUGUGCCUCCUGGUUGCUGGAUGCAUAUGUUUGUUAAGAAGUACAUGAGGCUGCAGUUUGAUCAUGUGUUCGAUGAAAACUAUGAAGUGAAGAGAACAAGAAUUGGAAGACCGCUGAUGAGGUAAUCUGGCUAUACAACGACAUGCAAGCAAGAUAUACACAAGGGUCAUGUUGAAACAGUUUGGCCAUAUCUUGUAUGAGUGCGGGAUCGAGAAGUGGUAGAGAUCGAGAGUCGCAUACAUUCGAAGGCCGGGCGAAGGGAGAAGUGGUGCAGAGAUGGAGGUGAAGAGUUUGCCUGCGAGUGUUGACGGUUUGCUCACAUGGGACUCCUUUGUGGCCAUGUGUUGAAAAAAGGUGUAUGCCAUUGGAUGCGGGCUUUUGGCGGGCGACCUCCAUGCUCGUGGUUACAAAAGGAAUCAGAAGAAUUAUGUAGAUUUGACGAUGGAGAUAGCAAGGACUACCUCUACUGUUUGUGGUAAUAUCAGCAAGAAGAGAAAUUUAUUCAACACACACACAAAUACCGUCCGAUUAGACCCCAUGAGCAUCUCGUGCCGCUGCCUAUGCACACACAAGGUCAAGCUAUACAUAUGGUAUUCGAAUAUGAACAAGCAAGUGCGAGACAUACUAUUUGUUACACACCAAGACAGGCAAUUUUUUUUUUUGAAGUUAACCGCACAUAUAUUCAUAGAACAAUAGAUACACACACACUGACGCACAUAGCACCAUCAUCAUCGACAUAAUUGUCAUGUGUAUCAGUUGAUUCAGUUGUCAUCUGCUGACGAUAAACCAUACCGCCUUUGAUCACAUCUCUUGCCAGCCUCUGACUGUCAGCAGACAUAUGUUCUUUUAUAUACCUCUAUUUAAGGGUCGACAAAGAUCUGGUCUGUCCUUUUCAGCAGUCAGUUUCAGGACACGGUUAGAAAGGAUCAGGGAAGAUUAAAAAUGGUUUGAGAUGAAGAUCAUGGAGUUAGUUACGUAGAGAUUUCAUCUAGCGAAGCUUCACCAAGGAUGAUUUUUGCUAAGCUGAUCUACACUCAAAUUCACAGCUUUAUUCCUUCCCGACCGCUUGUUCUUUUUACUCUUUUGAUAUGUUCACACAACCUUACUUAAAUUUUUUUAUAGGACAGUACAGAUACGUAAACUGGUCCUAGCUAAAACAAUGGAGCUCCUUUGCUGCUAGAGAACUGGAGAAGCCCUUUGUUGUGGCUACUUCGCUCACGCUAUGGCUGAUUUGGCUUGCUUGAAUUAACUGUAUGUACUUUGAAGAGAAAGAUGACCUAGAAAUUUGCUCGUUUUGUUGUGGGAUGAGGCAUUAGAGAGUGCUACUGACCGUCUAGCAUCAUUUUCUCUUAUUGGAAUCCUUAAUUAGUAUUGCAUUCCUGUUUCAUGCAUUUAUUUGUUCAGGUGUUUUCAUCCACAUGUUACGAAGGACAAUCUUUUCC
Long non-coding RNA from Triticum aestivum (bread wheat), 3956 nucleotides. RefSeq lists it as uncharacterized. The record is from RefSeq and is a predicted model, not a curated record. NCBI's taxonomy places the organism in Eukaryota, Viridiplantae, Streptophyta, Magnoliopsida, Poales, Poaceae. The transcript has 5 exons.